GGCAUCAUAAUAGUUUUAAAAUUUAGGCUCAAAUAUCAUAUAUGAGACACAAUUCAUAGAAUAGAAUUGCACUCAAGAUCAUAAAAUCAUUAAGGCAUCCCAACACUUCCAACAAAUAAUAUCCGUCAAUUCCUUUCGGGUCAUCGAGGCAUCAUAAUAGUUUCAAAAUUUAGACUCAUAUCAUAUCUGAGUGACAAUUCAUAGUAUAGAAUUGCACUCAAGAUCAAAAAAUCAUUGAGGCAUCCAACACUUGCAACAUAUCGAACAAAUAAUAUCCGUCAAUUCCUUUCGGGUCAUCCAGCAAUCAUAAUAGUUUCAAAAUCACCCAGGCAUCAUAAUAGUUUCAAAAUUUAGGCUUAUAUAUCAUACAUGAGUGACAAUUCAUAGUAUAGAAUUGCAUUCAAGAUCAUAAAAUCAUUGAGGCAUCCCAACACUUGCAACAUAUGGGACAAAUAAUAUCCGUGAAUUCCUUUCGGGUCAUCGAGGCAUCAUAAUAGUUUCAAAAUUUAGGCUCAUAUAUGAUAUAUGAGUCACAAUUCAUAUUAUAGAAUUGCAUUCAAGAUCAUAAAAUCACCAAGGCACACCAACACUUGCAACAUAUGGGACAAAUAAUAUCCGGCAAUUCCUUUCAGUUCAUCGAGGCAUCAUAAUAGUUUCGAAAUCAUCAAGGCAUCAUAAUAGUUUCAAAAUUUAGGCUUAUAUAUCAAACAUGAGUGACAAUUCAUAGUAUAGAAUUGCACUCAAGAUCAUUAAAUCAUUAAGGCAUCCCAACACCUGCAACAUAUUGGACAAAUAAUAUCCGUGAAUUCCUUUCGGGUCAUCGAGACAUCAUAAUAGUUUCAAAAUUUGAGCUAGUUUAGAAUUUUACUCGAGAUCAUAAAAUCACAUAGGCAUCUCAAAACUUGCAACAUAUGGGACAAAUUAGAACCGUCAAUUCCUUUCGGGUCAUCAAAGCAUCAUAAUAGUUUCAAAUUUGGGCGCAUAUAUCAUAUGAGUAACAAUUCAUAGUCUAGAAUUGCACUCAAGAUCAUAAAAUCACAUAGGCAUCUCAAAACUUGCAACAUACGGAACAAAUAAUAUCCGUCAAUUCAUUUCGGGUCAUCGAGACAUCAUAAUAGUUUCAAAAUUAAUGCUCAUAUAUAUCUCAUAUUUGAGUAACAAUUCAUAGUCUAGAAUUUCACUCAAGAUUAUAAAAUCAUAGAGGCAUCCCAACACUUGCAACAUAUAGAACAAAUAAUAACCGUCAAUUCCUUUCGGGUCAUCGAGGCAUCAUAAUAGUUUCAAAAUUUAGGCUCAUAUGUCAUAUAUGAGUGAGUCACAAUUAUUAGUAUAGUAUUGCAUUCAAGAUCAUAAAAUCAUUGAGGCAUCCCAACACUUGCAAAAAUGGGACAAAUAAUAUCCGUCAAUUCCUUUCGGUUCAUCGAGGCAUCAUAAUAGUUUCAAAAUUUAGGCUUAUAUAUCAUAUAUGAGUGACAAUUCAUAGUAUAGAAUUGCACUCAAGAUCAUAAAAUCAUUAAGGCAUCCCAACACUUGCAAAAAUGGGACAAAUAAUAUCCGUCAAUUCUUUUCGGGUUAUCGAGGCAUCAUAAUAGUUUCAAAAUUUAGGCUCAUAUAUCAUAUAUGAGUGACAAUUCAUAGUAUAAAAUUGCACUCAAGAUCAUAAAAUCAUUGAGGCAUCCGAACACUUGCAACAUAUGGAACAAAUAAUAUCCGUCAAUUCCAUUCGGGGUCAACGAGGCAUCAUAAUAGUUUCAAAAUUUAGGCUCAUAUAUCAUAUGAGUCACAAUUUAUAGUAUAGAAUUGCACUCAAGAUAAUAAAAUCAUUAAGGCAUCCCAACACUUGCAACAAAUGGAACAAAUAAUAUCCGUCAAUUCCUUUCGGGUCAUCGAGACAUCAUAAUAGUUUCAAAAUUUAGGUUCAUAUAUCAUAUAUGAGUGACAAUUCGUAGUAUAGAAUGGCACUCAAGAUCAUAAAAUCAAUGAGGCAUCCCAACACUAGAAACAUAUGGGACAAAAAAUAUCCGCAAUUCCUUUCGGGUCAUCGAGGCAUCAUAAUAGUUACAAAAUUUAGGCUCAUAUAUCAUAUAUGAGUGACAAUUCGUAGUAUAGAAUGGCACUCAAGAUCAUAAGAUCAGAGGCAUACCAACACUUGCAACAUAUGGGACAAAUAAUAUCCAUCAAUUCCUUUCGGGUCAUCGAAGCAUCAUAAUAAUUUCAAAAUUUAGGCUCAUAUAUCAUAUAUGAGUCAAUUCAUAUAAUAGUCAAUUCAUAUAAUACAAUUGCACUCAAGAUCAUAAAAUCAUUAAGGCAUCCCAACACUUGCAACAUAUGGAACAAAUAAUAUCCGUCAAUUCCUUUCGGGUCAUCGAGGCAUCAUAAUAGUUUCAAAAUUUAGGCUUAUAUAUCAUAUAUGAGUGACAAUUCAUAGUAUAGAAUUGCACUCAAGAUCAUAAAAUCAAUGAGGCAUCCCAAACAUAUGGGACAAAUAAUAUCCGCAAUUGAUUUCGGGUCAUCGAGGGAUCAUAAUAGUUUUAAAAUUUAGGUUCAUAUAUCAUAUGAGUGACAAUUCGUAGUAUAGAAUUGCACUCAAGAUCAUAAGAUCAUUGAGGCAUACCAACACUUGCAACAUAUGGGACAAUAAUAUCCGUCAAUUCCUUUCGGGUUAUCGAGGCAUCAUAAUAGUAUCAAAAUUCAGGCACAUAUAUCAUAUAUAUGAGUGACAAUUCGUAGAAUAAAAUUGCACUCAAGAUCAUAAAAUCAUUGAGGCAUCCCAACACUUGCAACAUAUGGGACGAAUAAUAUCCGUCAAUUCCUUUCGGGUCAUCGAGGCAUCAUAAUAGUUUUAAAAUUUAGGCUCAUAUAUCAUAUAUGAGUCACAAUUCAUAGUAUAGAAUUGCACUCAAGAUCAUAAAAUCAUUAAGGCAUCCCAACACUUGCAACAUAUGGAACGAAUAAUAUCAGAUUCCUUUCGGGUCAUCGAGGCAUCAUAAUAGUUUCAAAAUUUAGGUUCAUAUAUCAUAUAUGAGUGACAAUUCAUAGUAUAGAAUUGCACUCAAGAUCAUAAAAUCAUUGAGGCUUACCAACACUUGCAACAUAUGGGACAAAUAAUAUCCGUCAAUUCCUUUCGGGUUAUCGAGGCAUCAUAAUAGUUUCAAAAUUAGGCUCAUAUAUUAUAUAUGAGUGACAAUUCGUAGAAUAAAAUUGCACUCAAGAUCAUAAAAUCAUUGAGGCAUCCCAACACUUGCAACAUAUGGGACAAAUAAUAUCCGUCAAUUCCUUUCGGGUUAUCGAGGCAUCAUAAUAGUUUCAAAAUUUAGGCUCAUAUAUCAUAUAUGAGUAACAAUUCAUAGUAUAGAAUUGCACUCAAGAUCAUAAAAUCAUUGAGGCAUCCCAACACUUGCCAACAUAUGGGACAAAUAAUAUCCGUCAAUUCCUUUCGGGUCAUCGAGGCAUCAUAAUAGUUUUAAAAUUUAGGCUCAUAUAUCAUAUAUGAGUGACAAUUCAUAGUAUAGAACUGCAUUCAAGAUCAUAAAAAUAUUGAGGCAUCCCAACACUUGCCAACAUAUGAGACAAAUAAUAUC
RNAcentral lists this long non-coding RNA (3581 nucleotides) under Medicago truncatula (barrel medic). RNAcentral describes it as "long non-coding RNA (MTRU_LNC006550)". Lineage: Eukaryota; Viridiplantae; Streptophyta; Magnoliopsida; Fabales; Fabaceae. The record is from RNAcentral.